Molecule: long non-coding RNA, 1691 nt
Organism: Erpetoichthys calabaricus (reedfish)
Lineage: Eukaryota; Metazoa; Chordata; Cladistia; Polypteriformes; Polypteridae
Exons: 4
Source: RefSeq, a predicted model, not a curated record
CGCAGAGCUUUACUAUUACGACCCUGCCCGAUCUGUGUUUUUUUACUUUACGACACGAGUCCCCAUCCGAUUUGUCUCGCGCACGCGCUCUCUGCUUAAUUAAAAUUCAUUUCAUGACGCUAUCCGAUUUGUUCUGCGCAUGUCUAAUGUUUUACGACACACGUCUUUUGUCAGGUUUGACUUGUACUUGUGAGUCAUUUUUGUGUUGUCGUUUAUCUCCGUCUGUAAGUGGACUUGUUACUGGAAAAGAUGGAAACUUUUGAAUUUUAUAACGUCUUGGAAGAUGUGUCGCCUGAAAAAUUGAACUCCAGUCGAAUGAAGAGGGAGCGAAAUGAAAUGCGACGUGUGUCUGUGAACUUUAUAAUGGACAUGUGUAGCUUUUUGAUGCCCAGUGGUAACCAGCCUACCAUGUGGCUCAACAGAUGCCAGUGUACCCGAAUACUGAGACACAAUUGGAUGUUCUUUUCCUCUGCUUUUAAGAUUCCCAGUUUGGGAUAAUGUGCAGUUCAUGUUAGAUUUGCUAUUUCUACAGUUACAGUGAAGUAGAAGAGUCCGGUCGUGUUAUGGGGCAGCAGUUGAAGAAGAAUGAUGGAGAGAUGUGUGCCAUGUUGAAGUAUCGGCUGGUCCUCCUGCCCGCUCUUCUAGAAUCCUCCAUCUAAACCUCUGCUCUGAUCUGCUGUGCCUUUGCCAAGUGAUCACGAGUUUAUUGCAAUGGUGCUCCCCCUGCGUCUCCACCGUCUGUUAAAUCAACUCCAAGUGCCUGUGACAGAAGAAAAGUUCACAAGAUGUCCUGAAAUGGAAUUGUGAUUGGAGUGAAACGGCCACAAUUAUGUAUGUUGGGAUGUGCAGAGGGGUCUGUGUGGGCUUUAGCUUGGGACCCCCAGAGGUUUAUUAUCUCUGGCAACCUUGAAAGCUGCAAGUUUGUCUUUGUCCCCAGCCAUUUGACCAGGCAGUGUAUUUAUUACAAAGAAAAAGGACCCCUCCAUUUGCUUCUUAUUUACUUUUAUAAUACCUUCAAUUUUCUUUGUAACUGUAUAUUUUUGUAGAGCAAUUUGAGCUACACUUGUAAGCAAAGGUGAUAUAAAAAUAUUAUUAGUGAACAAAUGUUAAGGGACAGAUCAGGAAAAAUGUCUACAUUUUUAGUUUAAAUAGAACAAUGUUUUAUGAAAUAUUGCUGGAUAACAACUCUUUGACUCUGAGUAGCUUAGUAUCUUGUUCAUAAAGCUAAAAUAGCAUUUUUUCCUUUUUUGACAAAUUUAAUGAUUCACUUUUAUUGUGUUCAAAACCUUGGCUAACAUUUUUUUUAAAUACUAAGGUAAAAAUCUGUAAAUAUAUUUGUGUUCUCCUUCCCUAAUAGUUUUUAACACCUCCCCUUGUUGGCCAUUUUCAUUGUAGUUGUGUUCUACUUAAAUGCAUUCACCAUUUAUACAUCUUUAUGAUUACUGAAUUUUCUACUCAUAAUUCACAUACAGUAUAUAUACAUAUAAAUAUGGGUGUGUGUAUAAUUUUUUUUUUGAGAAACAUUGUUCACAGAUUUUUCACUUUUAUUUUUAAAUGUACCAUUUAUUUCUUCAUUAAAAAUGUAUGAAUAAGUGUAUCGUAUUUCCUUUUUUUUAAGUUAUAAAAAUGAACUGGCUCUGUAUCAAUAUGGGUGAAUAAAACCAUUGACAUGAGAUGUGUCUGCACACAAA